Pollicipes pollicipes is the source of this 404-nucleotide long non-coding RNA. RefSeq lists it as uncharacterized. Lineage: Eukaryota; Metazoa; Arthropoda; Thecostraca; Pollicipedomorpha; Pollicipedidae. The transcript is spliced from 4 exons. The record is from RefSeq and is a predicted model, not a curated record.
AUUUGGCGAGACCGGCCGGCGGUGCAGACAGUCGAGCGUCGGCGGUGGUCAGGUCAGGUCGGGUCAGGCGAGUGUGCAGCGGCGAGGCAGAGCAGCGCUCCGGUCAGCUGACGAGGACAGGGCAGCGACACAGGCAGGCCCCCGCCAUGACGAUGCUGGAGCCCGAGAUUCGCCCGCUGCACGCGGUGUGGCCGCCCAAAGAGUACAGAAGACCCAAGGAGCCGUCCUUCUUCACACGCAUACCAGAAGCCGACAAGACAGUUGCAUGGCCGCCACGAAAUGAGAACGACUCUCGCUCGUCGUCAGCAUGCAGCGCCCCCAGCGACCCCAGCCAGACAGUGGUCCUCAAGCAGGAGCUCCCUGUCCGCCAGGAGGCACCGCCGGUUAGUAUCCGUCAUAUCGGC